GCGGAAUCGCCGAUUCCACCGAUUUUACGAUUUGACACGACAGUUUUACGAUUUGGCUUCGUUUGUAGCACGUUACUGGGAUCGAACACGAGUGGCCGCCGGAAGACGUAAGAACGUCCGAUUUCACGUGCCGGCGCGCGAUUUUGACUACCAUGGCCCUGCUUGGGCUGGUCUGGCCUGCCCUGCACUCCCCUUGCCUGGUUGGCAUGGCCUACCCUGACCUGACCUCCCCUCCGCUGGCCGACCUUUACUAGUCGGGCCUGCAUGGCUUUUUCAAGCCUGGGUUGCCUGACCUGACUGUCUGGGCUGGCCUAGCCUGCCUUUGCUAGCCUUACCUGAACUACCCCACCUGGUCUAGUCUGCCUAGCUUGUCUAGCCUGGCCUGCUUGGCUAGGGUUGGCCUUGGCUAGUCUGCCUAGCG
This is a non-coding RNA of Lupinus albus (white lupine), 421 nucleotides long. The record is from the annotation of a GenBank genome assembly. Lineage: Eukaryota; Viridiplantae; Streptophyta; Magnoliopsida; Fabales; Fabaceae.